Molecule: ribosomal RNA, 179 nt
Filed under: uncultured bacterium
Lineage: Bacteria
Description: partial 16S ribosomal RNA
Rfam family: Bacterial small subunit ribosomal RNA
Source: RNAcentral
CCUACGGGAGGCAGCAGUGGGGAAUCUUCCGCAAUGGGCGCAAGCCUGACGGAGCAACGCCGCGUGAGUGAAGAAGGGUUUCGACUCGUAAAGCUCUGUUGUCGGGGACGAAUGUGGAGAUGGUGAAUAACCAUUUUCAAUGACGGUACCUGAGAGGAAGCCACGGCUAACUAACGUGC